AAUCAACGCUGGCGGCGUGCCUCAGACAUGCAAGUCGAACGCGAAAGUUCCCUUCGGGGAGCGAGUAGAGUGGCGCACGGGUGAGCAACACGUAGGUAAUUUGCCUUUGGGUGGGGAAUAACUCAGGGAAACUUGAGCUAAUACCGCAUAAUGCAGCGGCUCGACAUCGAGACAGUUGUUAAAGCGGGGGAGUUGGAGCAAUCCGACCUCGCGCCUAAAGAGAAGCCUGCGGCAGAUUAGCUAGUUGGUAAGGUAAUGGCUUACCAAGGCGACGAUCUGUAACCGGCCUGAGAGGGCGGGUCGGUCACACUGACACUGACAUACGGGUCAGACUCCUACGGGAGGCAGCAGUCGGG
Molecule: ribosomal RNA, 356 nt
Filed under: uncultured bacterium
Lineage: Bacteria
Description: bacterial SSU rRNA
Rfam family: Bacterial small subunit ribosomal RNA
Source: RNAcentral